Oncorhynchus tshawytscha (Chinook salmon) is the source of this 612-nucleotide long non-coding RNA. The record is from Ensembl. NCBI's taxonomy places the organism in Eukaryota, Metazoa, Chordata, Actinopteri, Salmoniformes, Salmonidae.
AAAAGAUUUAAGUGCCUUUGAAUGAGGUAUGGUAGUAGGGGCCAGGCGGUAGUAGUAGUAGUAUGGUAGUAGGGGCCAGGCGGUAGUAGUAGUAUGGUAGUAGGGGCCAGGCGGUAGUAGUAGUAUGGUAGUAGGGGCCAGGCGGUAGUAGUAGUAUGGUAGUAGUAGUAGUAUGGUAGUAGUAGGGGCCAGGCGGUAGUAGUAGUAGUAUGGUAGUAGGGGCCAGGCGGUAGUAGUAGUAUGGUAGUAGGGGCCAGGCGGUAGUAGUAGUAUGGUAGUAGGGGCCAGGCGGUAGUAGUAGUAGUAUGUAGGGCCAGGCGGUAGUAGUAGUAGUAGUAUGGUAGUAGGGGCCAGGCGGUAGUAGUAGUAUGGUAGUAGGUGCCAGGCGGUAGUAGUAGUAGUAUGGUAGUAGGUGCCAGGCGGUAGUAGUAGUAUGGUAGUAGGUGCCAGGCGGUAGUAGUAGUAGUAUGGUAGUAGGGGCCAGGCGGUAGUAGUAUGGUAGUAGGGGCCAGGCGGUAGUAGUAUGGUAGUAGGGGCCAGGCGGUAGUAGUAUGGUAGUAGGGGCCAGGAGGUAGUAGUAGUAUGGUAGUAGGGGCCAGGCGGUAGUAGUAG